This 319-nucleotide unclassified non-coding RNA is filed under the name Cleistothelebolus sp. Its description in RNAcentral is "partial contains 5.8S ribosomal RNA, internal transcribed spacer 2, and large subunit ribosomal RNA". Lineage: Eukaryota; Fungi; Ascomycota; Leotiomycetes. RNAcentral also lists the same sequence under 1 other name. The record is from RNAcentral.
AACGCAAGUUGCGCCCGAAGCCAUCUGGUCGAGGGCACGUCUGCCUGGGUGUCACGCAUCGUUGCCCCCAACCCCAUCGCCUCUCCAAGAGACGAGGGCGGUCUGCGGGGCGGACAUUGGCCUCCCGUGAGCUUUCGCUCGCGGCUGGCCUAAAAGCGAGUCCUCGGCGACGAGCGCCACGACAAUCGGUGGUUGACAAACCCUCGUGUCCCGUCGUGCGCGGCUCGUCGCUCGUCUUGUGCUCUGUGACCCUGUAGCGUCGCGCUCGCGACUCUUCCAACGCGACCCCAGGUCAGGCGGGACUACCCGCUGAAUUUAA